AGAGUUUGAUCAUGGCUCAGAUUGAACGCUGGCGGCAUGCCUUACACAUGCAAGUCGAACGGCAGCACGGGGGCAACCCUGGUGGCGAGUGGCGAACGGGUGAGUAAUGCAUCGGAACGUGCCCAGUUGUGGGGGAUAACCCGGCGAAAGCCGGGCUAAUACCGCAUACGACCUACGGGUGAAAGCGGGGGACCGUAAGGCCUCGCGCUACUGGAGCGGCCGAUGUCUGAUUAGCUAGUUGGCGGGGUAAGAGCCCACCAAGGCUACGAUCAGUAGCUGGUCUGAGAGGACGACCAGCCACACUGGGACUGAGACACGGCCCAGACUCCUACGGGAGGCAGCAGUGGGGAAUUUUGGACAAUGGGCGCAAGCCUGAUCCAGCCAUGCCGCGUGCGGGAAGAAGGCCUUCGGGUUGUAAACCGCUUUUGGCAGGAACGAAACGGCGCGAGCGAAUACCUCGCGUUAAUGACGGUACCUGCAGAAUAAGCACCGGCUAACUACGUGCCAGCAGCCGCGGUA
Molecule: ribosomal RNA, 519 nt
Filed under: uncultured Pseudomonadota bacterium
Lineage: Bacteria; Pseudomonadati; Pseudomonadota
Description: bacterial SSU rRNA
Rfam family: Bacterial small subunit ribosomal RNA
Source: RNAcentral